Molecule: long non-coding RNA, 295 nt
Filed under: Homo sapiens (human)
Lineage: Eukaryota; Metazoa; Chordata; Mammalia; Primates; Hominidae
Description: HSALNT0198937
Source: RNAcentral
AAGAUCCCUCUGCCCCACUGAAACAGGAGUUACCAACUUUUUGAAGAGGCUUGUGAGAUCCAACCCCUCUCCAGCUGAGGACCUGAGACCUAGUGAGGACAAUGACUUCUCAUAUCUACACUGCUAGUAGGAGACAAGCACUGGUUUCAGAAAAAGAGGCGCUUAAGCUUAAGAGGAUGUACUAUAGCAAGUCUGGACAGGAACAACACUGAGUGCUGGAGAACUUGGAAAGGCUUCACAAACAGAUGGAACUGAGAGUUGCUUCCAAGAUGGCCGAAUAGGAACAGCUCCGGUC